RNAcentral lists this ribosomal RNA (500 nucleotides) under uncultured bacterium. RNAcentral's name for it is "partial 16S ribosomal RNA". It matches the Rfam family "Bacterial small subunit ribosomal RNA", at positions 30 to 523 of the family's 1533-position model. The record is from RNAcentral.
AUUGAACGCUGGCGGAAUGCUUUACACAUGCAAGUCGAACGGCAGCACGGACUUCGGUCUGGUGGCGAGUGGCGAACGGGUGAGUAAUGUAUCGGAACGUGCCCAGUCGUGGGGGAUAACGUAGUGAAAAUUACGCUAAUACCGCAUACGAUCUAUGGAUGAAAGCGGGGGAUCGCAAGACCUCGCGCGAUUGGAGCGGCCGAUAUCAGAUUAGGUAGUUGGUGGGGUAAAGGCCCACCAAGCCAACGAUCUGUAGCUGGUCUGAGAGGACGACAAGCCACCCUGGAACUGAGACACGGUCCAGACUCCUACGGGAGGCAGCAGUGGGGAAUUUUGGACAAUGGGCGAAAGCCUGAUCCAGCCAUUCCGCGUGCAGGAUGAAGGCCCUCGGGUUGUAAACUGCUUUUGUACAGAACGAAAAGGUUUCUACUAAUACUAGGAGCUCAUGACGGUACUGUAAGAAUAAGCACCGGCUAACUACGUGCCAGCAGCCGCCGUAA